UAAAAACAACCAAAAUCCCUAAUUCAUUUUUACGAUUUCAGUCUUCGACCUAAAUACAAAUCUUCUUCUCCAGCUCCGGUCCCCUCUCUCCGCCGUCCCUCAGCUCCUUUUACUUCUUCCUCUCUCGCAGCGCUUUUCCUCUAUUCCUCUUCUUCUCCGACACUAAAACCCUAAAGUCAUUGUUCUUCGCCUUCCAUAUUUCCUCAGUACGUGCUUCUUCUUCUCCGACGCUUAAACACUCUCUCCGACGAAGAAACCUAAAGUCACUAUGUUUCUCUCUCUAGAACUCCAGAAACCCUAGCUCUUCUGAUUCACCCUCACAAUGGGUUCCGAGGAAUCCAGCGUCGUUGGGCUUCUCAUGGAGACGCAGCCACACGAUAAUUUGCAGCAUGCACUAGUUUCUUCCCGUGACACCAACAAUCUACCCAACAACGCGGUGGUUGAUGCGGUGGCCGAUGUUUCAAAUCACAGGUGAUUUGCGAAUUCACUCGCUUGUUUUUCUGUUUGAGAAAUUGUUGUUAUGAAUUUUGUUACUGUGGUUGGUUUUUUAGAGUCACUGAAGAAAAAAGCCAUGUUUCAAGGGAUCUAAUAUGUGCCUGGUUUUUGUGUUAUUGUGUUAUAUGUUCCCUCACCAUUCCUGCUUUGAGGUUUUGAUUUAAUAUUUUAAUUUCCUAGUCAUUAAGUUUUAAUCCUUGCAUUUUAACAGUUAAGUUAAUUUUUGUGUUAUCAUUGUAAUUGCUCUUAUUGUUCAAGAUGGAAAGCACUAGCCUUACCCUCUAUGUGUCUCAGACUGAUGGUGAUUAUGUUUGCCAAACACCAGAGUGGUAGUCAAGUCUCUGCAUAGCUAAAAAAAUGCUUCUGAAGUUUAGGAAAAAGAGUCACAGCCCGACUACACGCAACACGGAAAUAGAUAAUGUCAGCGUUGAUGGUUCUGAGGUAGAUGAGAUUGGAACUAACAGUUCCUCUAAUGAAGAAUUUGAUCUCUCAAGAUGAAACUCCCACUGCCAGCACGACUCAACAAAUGUCUUCUCGCUCGUCUUCACUGCUAUCGCCAUUUCGAAAGAAUAGUGAAAAAAAGAUACAAAUGGCUUGAUAGAGUGGAUGCUGUUAUUGGUAAGGCUAAGUUGUAUUGUGUUUAGUGUUUAUUUGAAUUUUUCUUAUGACAUUAAAUAAACCCUUUUCAUGAACCCUUGUCAUAAACCCUUCUUCUUUAUUUCUUCAUUUCUUGCAGAUGAUUAUGAUUAUGUGACUGUGUAUUUAAGGAAAAAUACUAGUUGAUAUGUAUUUUAAAGUCAUAUGUUUUAAUUUUUUCAAGUAAGUGGUUGUCUUGCUUAUAUAUAUUUAGAUGUGUGUGUUUAAUGUUCAUGCAAUGUAUUAAAUCUUUGAAUGGUAUAAUAAAACUAUUAUGCAAGGGGCACAUAUACUUUAGAUGUGUGCCUGUGACAUACAUUCAUCAUAUAGUUAAUUGUAUGCAAAACAUGUAUAUUUUAUGCAUGUGGUUAAUUGUAUGCAAAACAGAAAAUGUUAGUAAUAUGCAUACACACCUUAUAUAAGUUAUCGUUGUUGGUAGAAUCUACUAAUUUUCCCUUGUUUACACCGUUUUAUUCUAUAUAGAUUGUUAAGCUAAUAGAAUACUAAUUUAGCAAAAGUUUAUGUGAUUGUUGCAUGCACUAUCAAGAAGAGCAACACAAGUACAUACACGCAUGAGCAAUUGAAAUUUCCAAUUUUCUUUUGAAAAUGAUGAAAUUGAUUAAUGCAAAAUCUUUAUAACCCUUAAUUGUAAUGUACAGAGAAAUUUAGCAGGAGUUCGGAACAUGUUAGGUGAGCAAGGGAUACUAAUUUAACAGGGUGAUCAUCGAUGACUUUAUUUGUAAAAUAUUUGAAAUUUGAAAUUUGGAUGAGUGUAAUAUAUUGACAGGUUGAGCUGUGAUCUAUUUGCUGUUGUGAUUUUCAGUUUGAUUACUAGAAGAUGUUCUCAUUCAGGAUGAAAUAUAUAAGGCUCGACUAGCCAACAUUAAACGAGAAGACGAAUCUAUCUUGCGAGAGAAGGAACGUUACGACCUAGAUAAGGGAAACGCAUGCGUGGACAAUUGAAGAUAAAUUAGAAGUUGAUUUGCGCAUUGUUGGAAAGUCAAUUAUGACCAUCUAGGAGUCACGUUCGACUGGAGAGAACUAGUUUUCUUAGAGAGCAAAUCAGUAUAUAUAUAUAUAUAUAUAUAUUUGUAUUGUAUUUUGUGUUUUGAGAAUUUGAUUGUAAACUUAGCUUCUAGAGCACUUAUAAAAUUAGUGAUGUUUUAUUUGUA
This is a long non-coding RNA of Vicia villosa (hairy vetch), 2303 nucleotides long. RefSeq lists it as uncharacterized. The record is from RefSeq and is a predicted model, not a curated record. The transcript is spliced from 5 exons. Lineage: Eukaryota; Viridiplantae; Streptophyta; Magnoliopsida; Fabales; Fabaceae.